Molecule: ribosomal RNA, 1181 nt
Filed under: human gut metagenome
Description: bacterial SSU rRNA
Rfam family: Bacterial small subunit ribosomal RNA
Source: RNAcentral
UCCUACGGGAGGCAGCAGUAGGGAAUUUUCGGCAAUGGGGGAAACCCUGACCGAGCAACGCCGCGUGAAGGAAGAAGUAAUUCGUUAUGUAAACUUCUGUCAUAGAGGAAGAACGGUGGAUAUAGGGAAUGAUAUCCAAGUGACGGUACUCUAUAAGAAAGCCACGGCUAACUACGUGCCAGCAGCCGCGGUAAUACGUAGGUGGCGAGCGUUAUCCGGAAUUAUUGGGCGUAAAGAGGGAGCAGGCGGCACUAAGGGUCUGUGGUGAAAGAUCGAAGCUUAACUUCGGUAAGCCAUGGAAACCGUAGAGCUAGAGUGUGUGAGAGGAUCGUGGAAUUCCAUGUGUAGCGGUGAAAUGCGUAGAUAUAUGGAGGAACACCAGUGGCGAAGGCGACGAUCUGGACGCAUAACUGACGCUCAGUCCCGAAAGCGUGGGGAGCAAAUAGGAUUAGAUACCCUAGUAGUCCACGCCGUAAACGAUGAGUACUAAGUGUUGGGGGUCAAACCUCAGUGCUGCAGUUAACGCAAUAAGUACUCCGCCUGAGUAGUACGUUCGCAAGAAUGAAACUCAAAGGAAUUGACGGGGGCCCGCACAAGCGGUGGAGCAUGUGGUUUAAUUCGAAGCAACGCGAAGAACCUUACCAGGUCUUGACAUGGAUCUAAAGGCUCUGGAGACAGAGAGAUAGCUAUAGAGAUACAGGUGGUGCAUGGUUGUCGUCAGCUCGUGUCGUGAGAUGUUGGGUUAAGUCCCGCAACGAGCGCAACCCCUGUUGCCAGUUGCCAGCAUUAAGUUGGGGACUCUGGCGAGACUGCCGGUGACAAGCCGGAGGAAGGCGGGGAUGACGUCAAAUCAUCAUGCCCCUUAUGACCUGGGCUACACACGUGCUACAAUGGACAGAGCAGAGGGAAGCGAAGCCGCGAGGUGGAGCGAAACCCAGAAAACUGUUCUCAGUUCGGACUGCAGUCUGCAACUCGACUGCACGAAGAUGGAAUCGCUAGUAAUCGCGAAUCAGCAUGUCGCGGUGAAUACGUUCUCGGGCCUUGUACACACCGCCCGUCACACCAUGAGAGUCGGUAACACCCGAAGCCGGUGGCCUAACCGCAAGGAAGGAGCUGUCUAAGGUGGGACUGAUGAUUGGGGUGAAGUCGUAACAAGGUAUCCCUACGGGAACGUGGGGAUG